Molecule: ribosomal RNA, 819 nt
Filed under: Kocuria marina
Lineage: Bacteria; Bacillati; Actinomycetota; Actinomycetes; Micrococcales; Micrococcaceae
Description: bacterial SSU rRNA
Rfam family: Bacterial small subunit ribosomal RNA
Source: RNAcentral
UAGGUGGAUGAGUGGCGAACGGGUGAGUAAUACGUGAGUAACCUGCCCUUGACUCUGGGAUAAGCCUGGGAAACUGGGUCUAAUACUGGAUAUGACCUCCUGUCGCAUGGUGGGGGGUGGAAAGGGUUUGUACUGGUUGUGGAUGGGCUCACGGCCUAUCAGCUUGUUGGUGGGGUAAUGGCCUACCAAGGCGACGACGGGUAGCCGGCCUGAGAGGGUGACCGGCCACACUGGGACUGAGACACGGCCCAGACUCCUACGGGAGGCAGCAGUGGGGAAUAUUGCACAAUGGGCGCAAGCCUGAUGCAGCGACGCCGCGUGAGGGAUGACGGCCUUCGGGUUGUAAACCUCUUUCAGCACGGAAGAAGCGAAAGUGACGGUACGUGCAGAAGAAGCGCCGGCUAACUACGUGCCAGCAGCCGCGGUAAUACGUAGGGCGCAAGCGUUGUCCGGAAUUAUUGGGCGUAAAGAGCUCGUAGGCGGUUUGUCGCGUCUGCUGUGAAAGCCCGGGGCUUAACCCCGGGUGUGCAGUGGGUACGGGCAGACUUGAGUGCAGUAGGGGAGACUGGAACUCCUGGUGUAGCGGUGAAAUGCGCAGAUAUCAGGAAGAACACCGAUGGCGAAGGCAGGUCUCUGGGCUGUUACUGACGCUGAGGAGCGAAAGCAUGGGGAGCGAACAGGAUUAGAUACCCUGGUAGUCCAUGCCGUACACGUUGGGCACUAGGUGUGGGGGACAUUCCACGUUUUCCGCGCCGUAGCUAACGCAUUAAGUGCCCCGCCUGGAGAGUACGGCCGCAAGGCUAAAACUCAAAGGAAUUG